This is a long non-coding RNA of Magnolia sinica, 451 nucleotides long. RefSeq lists it as uncharacterized. The record is from RefSeq and is a predicted model, not a curated record. The transcript is spliced from 3 exons. NCBI's taxonomy places the organism in Eukaryota, Viridiplantae, Streptophyta, Magnoliopsida, Magnoliales, Magnoliaceae.
AAUUUUUAUAUGGACAGGGACAACACUCUCCACAUGGGCAGGGACAACACACCACUUGUUUGAUGAAAUGCUUUAGCCAAAUCCUUUUUUGGAUGAAACCGUGCUAUCAAUUGGACUUGAGACCACCUUUCUCAAUUGGGAUCAGCGGCCAAGUCAAUGUUACAAAGACAACUGGUCUGGAAAUCUAGGAAGAUAUAGUGUUCAUGGUGGAUAUGUUUGUUGCAGGCAUUGGAACUGGUGAAACUAUUUCUGGCGUUGGCUAUUUUCUGAAAGACAAAAAUCCUAACAUAAAGAUUAUUGCUGCGGAUCCUUUGGAAAGCAAUGUACUUUCACAGGGAAAGCGUGGUAAAAGCAAAGAUGACUGUUUGGAUGUUUUCUCCUCAGAUAAUCAUGCUUUUAGGCGGUUUAUGCAUUUGUGCUUUCUUUCUUUCUAAGUUGUGUCAUCACAAUC